GACGAACGCUGGCGGCGUGCUUAACACAUGCAAGUCGAACGAAGAGCGAUGGAAGCUUGCUUCUAUCAAUCUUAGUGGCGAACGGGUGAGUAACGCGUAAUCAACCUGCCCUUCAGAGGGGGACAACAGUUGGAAACGACUGCUAAUACCGCAUACGAUCUAAUCUCGGCAUCGAGGAUAGAUGAAAGGUGGCCUCUACAUGUAAGCUAUCACUGAAGGAGGGGAUUGCGUCUGAUUAGCUAGUUGGAGGGGUAACGGCCCACCAAGGCGAUGAUCAGUAGCCGGUCUGAGAGGAUGAACGGCCACAUUGGGACUGAGACACGGUCCAGACUCCUACGGGAGGCAGCAGUGGGGAAUCUUCCGCAAUGGACGAAAGUCUGACGGAGCAACGCCGCGUGAGUGAUGACGGCCUUCGGGUUGUAAAGCUCUGUUAAUCGGGACGAAAGGCCUUCUUGCGAAUAGUGAGAAGGAUUGACGGUACCGGAAUAGAAAGCCACGGCUAACUACGUG
This 510-nucleotide ribosomal RNA is filed under the name uncultured bacterium. RNAcentral describes it as "partial 16S ribosomal RNA". It matches the Rfam family "Bacterial small subunit ribosomal RNA", at positions 28 to 507 of the family's 1533-position model. The record is from RNAcentral.